RNAcentral lists this unclassified non-coding RNA (266 nucleotides) under uncultured fungus. RNAcentral describes it as "partial contains 5.8S ribosomal RNA, internal transcribed spacer 2, and large subunit ribosomal RNA". The record is from RNAcentral. Lineage: Eukaryota; Fungi.
AACGCACAUUGCGCCCUCUGGCAUUCCGGGGGGCAUGCCUGUCCGAGCGUCAUUUCUGCCCCUCAAGCGCGGCUUGUGUGUUGGGUGUUGUCCUCCGGCUUUCUAAGCCCUGGGGGACAUGUCCGAAAGGCAGCGGCGGUGUCGCGUCCGGUUCUCGAGCGUAUGGGGCUCUGUCACUCGCUCUGGAGGCCCGGCCGGUGCCCGCCAUCAACCAAUCUUUUCUCUAGGUUGACCUCGGAUCAGGUAGGGAUACCCGCUGAACUUAA